Long non-coding RNA from Dermochelys coriacea (leatherback sea turtle), 4387 nucleotides. RefSeq lists it as uncharacterized. The record is from RefSeq and is a predicted model, not a curated record. The transcript is spliced from 3 exons. NCBI's taxonomy places the organism in Eukaryota, Metazoa, Chordata, Testudines, Dermochelyidae.
UAGGUGGUGGGGGCCAGGCUGUUUGGGGAGGGACAGCCUUCCUUACCGGCCCUCCAUGCAGUUUUGCAACUCCAAUGUGGCCCUAGGGCCACAAAGUUUGUCCACCCCUGCCUUACACACUAUUGUAAUAAUCUGUGCACAAAAUAUGCCUUGUGAGGUAUCAUCUGAAAACUAAUAACUUACUGGUUAAAAGUAUCAUGGCUGACAAUAUCAACAGUAUAUGUAAAAUUAUGAAUUACUUGGAAUGAUGUUACUAGCACUUGUUCAAAACCAGACAGUAAAAAUGUUAAACAGCUCUAUCCUAAACAAAGGAGUGUGGGUUUACCUCAGUUUACACAUAAACAGUAAACGGAACAAUCAAACUAAUGGGGAGGGAAGAGUGGAGAUGGCAAGAAACAAAACAAUAUACAUUUUAGCAAACACUAGUGCAGGAAGAAAGAACAUGGAGCUUCCUUCACCACCAGAGUCCAUGUCAUCUUCCACGUUGCUUGAAUAAACUUUACUUUAAGGGGUAACUAGAAGAAUCCAUACUAUUCUAGAAAGGAAAGGGCAGAAUACCCCAAGGUAUGUCUUUCAUCUAAGAAAACAAAGGAACCUGCACUUUGGGCUGCUGGAGGAGAUCCCGAGGAGAGGGAAGAAGGAGUCAGACACUAUUUUGCCUGAAGACUUAAUUGGGAAAGCCAUCUUGAACAAAGCCUGUACCUUGCUAGAUUAAGUUUUAGACCUUUACUAAUGUGUGUGUUCACCUUUUAUUUGCUUGUAACCAUUUCUAACUUUAUCUCUUAUACUUGAACUCACUUAAAAUCCUGUCUUCUUUUGUUAGUAAACUAGUUUUACUUUUAAUCUAACCCAGGGAUCUGAAACAUGCAGCAGGCCUGUGGAGCUAUUUCCUGCGGCCCGCCAUAGGCGCUGACUUUCCCCCCUCUGCUCUUCCCCCCGAGUGCGCCAUGUCCCCGCUCCUCCACCUACCUCCCAGUGCUUCCCACCCCCGAACAGCCAUUUGGCAGCAUUUAGGAUUUUCCAGGAGGGAGGGGGAGGAGCAGGGAUGCGGCACACUCAGGGGAGGAGGCAGAGAAGAGGCGGGGAUGGGAUUUGGGGAUGGGGUUGGAAUAGGAGCAGGGAGGGUGAGCAUGAGCUGUAUGUUGUUCUGGUUUGUGCAUCAUCAACAAAACUUUUGAUUAUGAGUCUUAUCCAACUCCCAUUGAAGUCAAUGACAUUCUUUCCAUUGUUUUCAGUGGGAGUUAGACAAGACCUUACGUUCCAGUUGCAGAAUAUAGUGCUGAUAAAGAAGCAUAAGUGAGAAAGAAUGCUACCUGACUGAAAUUACGAAGAUCAAAUAGACCUUUUAUGCCUCUGAAUGUUGCCGGAGAGGGAUGGACAUUGCAGAGCACAUGAGUUCAAGAAAGCUCAGGACUGGAGGAAGUUGCCAUCCUGCCUCCUGAUUCCUUUGUACAAGCCCAAAUGUCUAAUAAGCACAAGACACUGAAGGAGGGGCAGAAGCCUGGUGUAUAGGGGAGGACCGUGUCUUACCACUGGGAAGAAAGAGAGUGGUUGGGAGCCCAGGUGCUCACCUCCCCAGAAUCAUUCCUCUGCUGGAAAUCCCCAUCAUACACAACCUGUACAGGAGAAUGGUCCAAGGAGGUACCACCAAUGUAACUCCACUGAGCACAUGAGAAAUAAGUGCCCUAAGAUAAACUAAGCUCACACCCCUCCAACGCAGGUUAAUGCAACUUUCAUUAACAUAGAGGAACAUGAGGGGCCGCUGAUUAAUUUUGUGAGGCCUGAGCCUGAGGAAGUGGACCUGGAGUUUAUCAAGGUUGCCAAUAUGAAUUGCAAGGAAUGGGUAGCCUCAAGGGACAUUGGAGUACAAAUUUCUCAGGUCAAGGAAAGCAUAUUCAGAAAAACUGGCAUGUUACCUGACCAGGAGGUAGAGCUGGCAUUAGAGAAAUAUUAAAUAGCUGUACCUCUGUAACCCAUAGAAGAGAAUUGUGCAGACAAAGGAGCAGCUUUGUGAGCAGGGGACAGCCCCAGCUGGGCAAGAGGAAGCAAAGUGCUUUCAGAUGUGGGAGGCAUUGAAGCCAGUUCCUGCAUAGCAAAGGAAAGUAGAAUCCUCUGAGACUGGGGGAGGGGGAAUUAAUCCCUGCUACUGAAGAAUCUGUCUCAGUUGUCAGCUGCUAGCAUUUUGCAGAUGAACCAAGGGAACCCCAGUGAGGAGAAAUGGAGAAUGUACAAGUAAGCUCAUGGUGGAAAAGUAAAAUCGCUGGGAAACCUUACAAGUGGCUGAUUGUGCCUGCCCAGCACUGUGGGGAAUUAAUCUUGCUAACACAUGAUUUUCCUUUUACUGGUCACUUAGAGCCAUGAAAAUCUAUGAGCCGUUUUUAAAAAAAAUUUACUGGCCAGGGUACAGAAUGAGGGGAAAGAUUAUUGUAGGUAUUGUGAAUUAUAUCAAAAAAGACCUGCAGGACUGCAGAAAGUUCCUCUUUGCCUUUUGCCUGCAAUACGAGAGGUGUUUUAUAGGGUAGCAAUGGGCAUUGUGGGUCCUAUGCUACACCCCACCAAAGGGGGAAGAAAUAUAUCCUAGUGGUAAUGGAUUUUGCCAUCGAUAUCCCAAAGCAGUUGCUCUGUUGACAUAAAGCCUGUUUCUGUGGUAAAAAGCCCUUUUCAUUAUUUUUAGCAGAGUGGGUUUUCUUAAAAAUAUUUGAUCAGAUCAUUAGUCAUAUUUCAUGUCUCCGCUAUUCAGUGACUUAUGGAAGUUGUGUGUGGGAUAAAACAACUAAAAGCUGCCCCAUAUCACCUAGAGACAAAUGGUGUGGUGGAGAGGUUCAGUGGGACACUGAAAUCAAUUCUGAGGAUGUAUGCCCGCAGGUGGGACUAAGAUUAGGACGAAAUGUUACACUAUUCGUUGUUAAUAAGGAAUUGCCCCAAGAAUCUGUAGUUUGGCCCAUUUGAUCUUCUAUACAGAGGGAAAGUGAGGGGACUUCUAGCUCUUACCAGAGACUGUUGGGAAGGAGAUACUGAGACAGAAAGGUAGCCUAUAACUGAAUAUGUACAAAGGUCCAAGCAAGAGUUAAAGGACAUGCUGGAAGUGGUUCAGAGUCAUCUUUUGUUUGGCCUGACUGUCCCUGUGGUAUGGCAUGACCAAUAUAUUUGUAAAUGCUCUUUGAAGUAGGAGACUUAGUGUUGUUACUUAUCCCUGAAAAAAAUGCAAAACUCAUGGAUGGGACCUUUUGAAAUGAUAGAAGAGGUAACUGAAUGUACACAUGCAAAAGACCUCACAGUAAUGCUGCCAUGCAGAUGGUGCAUGUAAACAGAUUUAAAGUUGAUCACAAGAGAGAAGCCAUGGUAAACAUAAUAUGUUGUGUAGAGGGGGAAACUGAGGCAAACUUCAUUGAUUUGAUGGCUGAAUGCCAAACUGGCUCAUCUCUGGAAAAGCCUCAAUAACUACAGUGAGUUACUAUAAGUUCAGAAAGCAGAGGUGUUAUCUGUACUUCAAGCAUACAGACAAGUGUUUUCUAACAAGCCAGGGAAGACUCACUUACUGACUCAUAAGAUCAUUACUGUAGGAUCACAGCCACUUCCCAGCAGGGCCUACUGUACCACUGGCAAGGUACAAGAGCAAACUUGCACAGAGAUGAAGAGCAUGUUGGACCUGGGAGUGAUUACAAAGUUUGACUGCUCUUGGGCAUCACCUGUGGUCUUUGUUACUAAGACAGACAACACUGUAAGGUUUUCGGUUGAGUAUAGGAAACUCAGUGCUGUCAUGGUGCCAGAUGCUUAUCCUAUGCCUAGAAUUGAUGAUAUGCUGGAUAUCUUAAGAAAAGUUAACUAUAGCAGUUUUUUUUUAUUUAAAGGAUACUAGAAAAUUCUUCAGAUAAUGCUCCGAAAAAAUCUGCUUUUAUUAGUGAUGUGGGACUGUAUGAGUUUUAAAUGGAUUACAGGACUUCGCAAGGGCCUGUGUCCACAGUAUAGCGAUGACAAAACCUCUCACUGAUCUGAAUUGCACCCAAAGUGUGACAACAGACAACUCUUAAAGGAAAACCUUCUUUCAUCAGAGCCUUCUAGAUCUGUGCAAAAAUAAAAUCAUAUACCAGCAGUUUGGUAAUGUGUGAACAACAUAUGGGUUAUUUGAAUGCACUGUUUUAUAGUUCAGAUCUUCUUUUUUUAUUCUGUUAGGUUUUUUUUUUAAAUAUGACAUUUCCUACUUAUUAAAGAUGUAAUUUUGUCUUCUAAAAUAUGCAUGCUUAGCUGGGGAAAUUUAGUUCAGCCGGGCUUGUUGAGAGGUAUCUAAGCUGUCUUCCUAUGGUAUAGAUUUUAGAUAUGCUCCCUUCCCUUGUUUGCUUUGCUGUGGAUUUUAAAACUAUUUUCACAAUUAAAAAUAUACAAAAUC